GGCCUCUCUCUCCGGUAGAGCUGUGGGAGGUCCCCUUUCUCCUCAGCCAGGACUGGAGGCCGAGAUCAGCCCUGGAGGACCAUCGUCGGGGCUGCCACGAGCUGGGUGGCCUUGUUUUCCUGCCUCAGACAUUU
Hippopotamus amphibius kiboko is the source of this 134-nucleotide non-coding RNA. NCBI's taxonomy places the organism in Eukaryota, Metazoa, Chordata, Mammalia, Artiodactyla, Hippopotamidae. The record is from RefSeq and is a predicted model, not a curated record.